This 1487-nucleotide ribosomal RNA is filed under the name uncultured bacterium. Its description in RNAcentral is "bacterial SSU rRNA". It matches the Rfam family "Bacterial small subunit ribosomal RNA". The record is from RNAcentral.
CUGGCUCAGAUUGAACGCUGGCGGCAGGCCUAACACAUGCAAGUCGAACGGUAACAGGAAGCAGCUUGCUGCUUCGCUGACGAGUGGCGGACGGGUGAGUAAUGUCUGGGAAACUGCCUGAUGGAGGGGGAUAACUACUGGAAACGGUGGCUAAUACCGCAUAACGUCGCAAGACCAAAGAGGGGGACCUUCGGGCCUCUUGCCAUCAGAUGUGCCCAGAUGGGAUUAGCUUGUUGGUGAGGUAACGGCUCACCAAGGCGACGAUCCCUAGCUGGUCUGAGAGGAUGACCAGCCACACUGGAACUGAGACACGGUCCAGACUCCUACGGGAGGCAGCAGUGGGGAAUAUUGCACAAUGGGCGCAAGCCUGAUGCAGCCAUGCCGCGUGUAUGAAGAAGGCCUUCGGGUUGUAAAGUACUUUCAGCGGGGAGGAAGGUGUUGUGGUUAAUAACCGCAGCAAUUGACGUUACCCGCAGAAGAAGCACCGGCUAACUCCGUGCCAGCAGCCGCGGUAAUACGGAGGGUGCAAGCGUUAAUCGGAAUUACUGGGCGUAAAGCGCACGCAGGCGGUCUGUCAAGUCGGAUGUGAAAUCCCCGGGCUCAACCUGGGAACUGCAUUCGAAACUGGCAGGCUUGAGUCUUGUAGAGGGGGGUAGAAUUCCAGGUGUAGCGGUGAAAUGCGUAGAGAUCUGGAGGAAUACCGGUGGCGAAGGCGGCCCCCUGGACAAAGACUGACGCUCAGGUGCGAAAGCGUGGGGAGCAAACAGGAUUAGAUACCCUGGUAGUCCACGCCGUAAACGAUGUCUACUUGGAGGUUGUGCCCUUGAGGCGUGGCUUCCGGAGCUAACGCGUUAAGUAGACCGCCUGGGGAGUACGGCCGCAAGGUUAAAACUCAAAUGAAUUGACGGGGGCCCGCACAAGCGGUGGAGCAUGUGGUUUAAUUCGAUGCAACGCGAAGAACCUUACCUGGUCUUGACAUCCACAGAAGAAUCCAGAGAUGGAUUUGUGCCUUCGGGAACUGUGAGACAGGUGCUGCAUGGCUGUCGUCAGCUCGUGUUGUGAAAUGUUGGGUUAAGUCCCGCAACGAGCGCAACCCUUAUCCUUUGUUGCCAGCGAUUAGGUCGGGAACUCAAAGGAGACUGCCAGUGAUAAACUGGAGGAAGGUGGGUAUGACGUCAAGUCAUCAUGGCCCUUACGACCAGGGCUACACACGUGCUACAAUGGCGCAUACAAAGAGAAGCGACCUCGCGAGAGCAAGCGGACCUCAUAAAGUGCGUCGUAGUCCGGAUUGGAGUCUGCAACUCGACUCCAUGAAGUCGGAAUCGCUAGUAAUCGUGGAUCAGAAUGCCACGGUGAAUACGUUCCCGGGCCUUGUACACACCGCCCGUCACACCAUGGGAGUGGGUUGCAAAAGAAGUAGGUAGCUUAACCUUCGGGAGGGCGCUUACCACUUUGUGAUUCAUGACUGGGGUGAAGUCGUAACAAGG